This 106-nucleotide non-coding RNA is filed under the name Pelomonas sp. Root1444. RNAcentral describes it as "TPP riboswitch aptamer (THI element)". It matches the Rfam family "TPP riboswitch aptamer (THI element)". From Rfam's summary of the family: Vitamin B(1) in its active form thiamin pyrophosphate (TPP) is an essential coenzyme that is synthesised by coupling of pyrimidine and thiazole moieties in bacteria. The previously detected thiamin-regulatory element, thi box was extended, resulting in a new, highly conserved RNA secondary structure, the THI element, which is widely distributed in eubacteria and also occurs in some archaea. RNAcentral also lists the same sequence under 1 other name. Lineage: Bacteria; Pseudomonadati; Pseudomonadota; Betaproteobacteria; Burkholderiales; Sphaerotilaceae. The record is from Rfam by way of RNAcentral.
GGUAUUCGCUAGGGGUGUUGCGCCUGCUUCGGCAAGGCGCGACUGAGACAGUCCCUUUGAACCUGAUUGAGGUAAUCCUCGCGCAGGGAAGCAGCCGACCAGCAGG